GCACUACUUUCAUUUGCAAUGUGUUGCAAUAAAUAGAAAUGCUUUCAAUGACCUAUAUGAAAAUUUGUUUCCAAAUAAAUGUAGAGAGCCUAGACAUGUUAUAUUAUAGGGUUAACUUUUAUCAGCUUGCCCAACAGAUAAAACUAUAGAAAAAAUAGAAAGCUAAGAUUGAUGGCCUUAUCUUUGCCAAGAGCCUAAAGAAAACGAUAGUAGAGAAGCAUUGGCAAAAAGAUACACAACAAAUACAUAGCUAAGCACAUAAAUAUCACCAGAUGAUCUCAGCCUGCGAUCGGACGCUCAUCUUCAUCAUCGUCAUCCUCGUCUCCUGAUGUUUUUCCCUCAGUCUCAGAAGGAUGAGCCUGUAACUCAUCCUCAGAGACUAGAAUCUGAUCGGAUGCCUCGCCAUUCAAUUCAUUAUCACUAAACAGAUCCCUUUGAACAGGCACACUUCUUUGCUGCUGAGAUGAUAUCACACUUGCAAUGGCUUUGAAAGCGGCUGCAGCUUGAUUGCUUUCGACACCUGAGUCAUCAUCAACACCAUAGUUGGGUUCUUCUGAUUCAUCUUCUACUCGAGGUGGCGGAACAAAAAAGGGAAGUCUGCCCCUCUGCCAGUCAUGGAGGACCAUUUUUGCUGCAGUGGUCAAGUCAGGUUCGCCACCCCUUAGGAGCUUCCCUGUCAAUUUGCAAAGCUGAACUAAAAAGUCAUUAUCGUCCUCCCAAUUUUUUAUCCUGUAUGCUCUUUCAAGGUGUUCCUUCUUCACACGCUUCAAAACUUCUCCAAUAUGUUCGGCUGCAUCCUCCAAAUUUGUAACUCGUACCACGCCCUUAAGCACGAUAUCAGUUUCAGUGUCACUAUUCUGGUAAACAACUCCCGGGCAAUCAAUCAGGAAAAUCCUCUUUGUGAGAGUUAUAUAUUGCCAAACUUUAGUUUCCCCUGGAAUAGGUGCAACUUUGCACACAUUCUUAGUCCGUAGAGUGUUAAUUACAGAUGACUUUCCAACAUUGGGAUACCCAACAAAU
RNAcentral lists this unclassified non-coding RNA (1020 nucleotides) under Hevea brasiliensis (rubber tree). Lineage: Eukaryota; Viridiplantae; Streptophyta; Magnoliopsida; Malpighiales; Euphorbiaceae. The record is from RNAcentral.